UACAGAGGAUGCAAGCGUUAUCCGGAAUGAUUGGGCGUAAAGCGUCUGUAGGUGGCUUUUUAAGUCCGCCGUCAAAUCCCAGGGCUCAACUCUGGACAGGCGGUGGAAACUACCAAGCUGGAGUACGGUAGGGGCAGAGGGAAUUUCCGGUGGAGCGGUGAAAUGCGCAGAUAUCAGGAAGAACACCAAUGGCGAAGGCAGCUCUCUGGGACGGUACUGACACUGAGACGCGAAAGCGUGGGGAGCGAACAGG
This 253-nucleotide ribosomal RNA is filed under the name uncultured bacterium. RNAcentral describes it as "partial 16S ribosomal RNA". It matches the Rfam family "Bacterial small subunit ribosomal RNA", at positions 524 to 776 of the family's 1533-position model. The record is from RNAcentral.